Molecule: long non-coding RNA, 191 nt
Filed under: Chinchilla lanigera (long-tailed chinchilla)
Lineage: Eukaryota; Metazoa; Chordata; Mammalia; Rodentia; Chinchillidae
Description: Nuclear RNase P (ENSCLAG00000021910.1)
Rfam family: Nuclear RNase P
About the family: Ribonuclease P (RNase P) is a ubiquitous endoribonuclease, found in archaea, bacteria and eukarya as well as chloroplasts and mitochondria.
Source: Rfam by way of RNAcentral
GGCGGAGGGAAGCUUGUCAGUGGGACUAUGAGCUGAAUGUGUCACAUCACUCUGUACAUGUCCCUUGGGAAAGUCUGAGACUAGGGCCAACGGCAGCCCUAACAGGGCUUUCCUUGAGCCUCAGGGGGGUGAGUUCUCAGAGAGGAGUCCAGGAAACUGAAUCUACUCCAAGACUUAGACAGUCCUCUGCC